Drosophila busckii is the source of this 553-nucleotide RNA transcript. RefSeq lists it as uncharacterized. The record is from RefSeq and is a predicted model, not a curated record. Lineage: Eukaryota; Metazoa; Arthropoda; Insecta; Diptera; Drosophilidae. The transcript is spliced from 3 exons.
ACCCAUGUAUCGAGUGAGUCGUUGCCCAAGUGCAUUGGGGAUUUUGGCCUGUAGUUGAAACAUUUCUCCAACCUUUGGAACCUGUAGGUCGAAAGCCAAACUGCCACUUUGGUAGGAGACGGCACACGUAAGUGUCCGCGUUAUUGGGCUGACGAUGAAAUUCAGUACGAUCAAAUUCUUGUGAAAUACGUGCACAGUGAAAAUUGCCCAUAUUACACUCGAAGAGAAUUCUACGUUACAAACUGCAAAAUCGACGAUACUCUUAAGGUUACACAGUUUCAAUAUAAUGGAUGGCCAACCGUCGAUGGAGAAGUUCCAGAAGUAUGUCGAGGGAUAAUAGAAUUAGUAGACCAAGCAUAUACCCAUUACAAAAACCACAAAAAUAUUGGUUGUCGCUCACCACUGACAGUUCAUUGCAGUUUGGGCACCGAUCGAAGCUCAAUUUUUGUUGCAAUGUGCAUCUUGGUUCAACAUCUUCGACAAGAAAGAAGUGUGGAUAUAUGUUCAAUUGCAAGAAAACUGCGAUCUCAGCGACCAGGAAUUCUAAAUUCAU